GAAACCGCCCAGAGGUAAACGGGUGGAUCCGCAAAGUCGGCCCGUGGAAUUCAGCGUGUGCGGAGGGUCCGGGAAUCGGGCCGGGGAUCUUCGGACCCCGCCCAGCUCUCGACUGGGCCCGACGCCGCGUGCACUUUCCGCGGGCAGAGCGCCACGACCGGUUUCGCGGCGGCGAUAAGCCCGUUCGGAUGCGUGGCACGAUCUCACGGUCGUGCUACGGCCGCUCGCGGUGAGCCGCUGUCGGGACCGAGGAACGGCCGCGUGCUUCGAGGCUGCCCGGCCUCGCUGGGGAGUUCGACUGGCAGGGACUGGGCAACCGUGCCUGCCGACUGCUCCGCGGUGCCGGUUCGGGACAGCCGGGCGCGUCAGGGGGUCGGGUGCGGAGUUCCC
Molecule: ribosomal RNA, 390 nt
Filed under: Radix cf. plicatula TS-2021 Clade IV
Lineage: Eukaryota; Metazoa; Mollusca; Gastropoda; Lymnaeidae
Description: partial 28S ribosomal RNA
Source: RNAcentral